GACGCUUGUGGAAUGAGCGGCGGACGGGUGAGUAACACGUGGGCAACCUGCCUGUAAGACUGGGAUAACCCCGGGAAACCGGGGCUAAUACCGGAUAAUACUUUCUUUUGCAUAAAGGAAAGUUGAAAGGCGGCUUCGGCUGUCACUUACAGAUGGGCCCGCGGCGCAUUAGCUAGUUGGUGAGGUAACGGCUCACCAAGGCGACGAUGCGUAGCCGACCUGAGAGGGUGAUCGGCCACACUGGGACUGAGACACGGCCCAGACUCCUACGGGAGGCAGCAGUAGGGAAUCUUCCGCAAUGGACGAAAGUCUGACGGAGCAACGCCGCGUGAGUGAUGAAGGUUUUCGGAUCGUAAAACUCUGUUGUUAGGGAAGAACAAGUUGGGUAGUAACUGACCCAACCUUGACGGUACCUAACCAGAAAGCCACGGCUAACUACGUGCCAGCAGCCGCGGUAAUACGUAGGUGGCAAGCGUUGUCCGGAAUUAUUGGGCGUAAAGCGCUCGCAGGCGGUCCUUUAAGUCUGAUGUGAAAUCUCGCGGCUCAACCGCGAACGGUCAUUGGAAACUGGAGGACUUGAGUACAGAAGAGGAGAGUGGAAUUCCACGUGUAGCGGUGAAAUGCGUAGAGAUGUGGAGGAACACCAGUGGCGAAGGCGACUCUCUGGUCUGUAACUGACGCUGAGGAGCGAAAGCGUGGG
RNAcentral lists this ribosomal RNA (700 nucleotides) under Oceanobacillus sp. S7. RNAcentral describes it as "bacterial SSU rRNA". It matches the Rfam family "Bacterial small subunit ribosomal RNA", at positions 79 to 765 of the family's 1533-position model. The record is from RNAcentral. Lineage: Bacteria; Bacillati; Bacillota; Bacilli; Caryophanales; Bacillaceae.